This 253-nucleotide ribosomal RNA is filed under the name uncultured bacterium. Its description in RNAcentral is "partial 16S ribosomal RNA". It matches the Rfam family "Bacterial small subunit ribosomal RNA", at positions 524 to 776 of the family's 1533-position model. The record is from RNAcentral.
GCCAGAGGGUGCAAACGUUGUUCGGAAUUACUGGGCGUAAAGCGCGUGUAGGCGGUUCGCUAAGUCGGGUGUGAAAGCCCUGGGCUCAACCCAGGAAGUGCACUCGAAACUGGCAGGCUAGAGUAUCGGAGAGGUUGGUGGAAUUCUCGGUGUAGCGGUGAAAUGCGUAGAUAUCGAGAGGAACACCUGCGGCGAAGGCGGGUUGCUGGGCUGACACUGACGCUGAGGCGCGAAAGCGUGGGGAGCGAACCGG